RNAcentral lists this unclassified non-coding RNA (372 nucleotides) under uncultured Gammaproteobacteria bacterium. Its description in RNAcentral is "contains 16S-23S intergenic spacer region". Lineage: Bacteria; Pseudomonadati; Pseudomonadota; Gammaproteobacteria. The record is from RNAcentral.
UCCGGUUUGUCACCGGCAGUCUCAUUAGAGUGCCCUUUCGUAGCAACUAAUGACAAGGGUUGCGCUCGUUGCGGGACUUAACCCAACAUCUCACGACACGAGCUGACGACAGCCAUGCAGCACCUGUGUUCCGAUUCUCUUUCGAGCACUCCCAACUUUCAUCAGGAUUCCGGACAUGUCAAGGGUAGGUAAGGUUUUUCGCGUUGCAUCGAAUUAAUCCACAUCAUCCACCGCUUGUGCGGGUCCCCGUCAAUUCCUUUGAGUUUUAAUCUUGCGACCGUACUCCCCAGGCGGUCAACUUCACGCGUUAGCUUCGUUACUAAGAAAAUUAAUUCCCAACAACUAGUUGACAUCGUUUAGGGCGUGGACUAC